RNAcentral lists this transfer RNA (62 nucleotides) under Dipodomys ordii (Ord's kangaroo rat). Lineage: Eukaryota; Metazoa; Chordata; Mammalia; Rodentia; Heteromyidae. The record is from Rfam by way of RNAcentral.
GGUGCUGUGGCUUAAGUGGUAGAGCGCUUAGCUUUGAACUAAAGAGCUCAAGGACAGCGCCC